UACAGAGGCCCCGAGCAUUAUCCGGAAUCACUGGGCGUAAAGGGUGUGUAGGCGGCUUAGUUAGUCUUUUGUGAAAGAUCCCCGGCCUAACCGGGGAGACGCAGGGGAAACGGCUAGGCUUUGAGGGUAUGAGAGGUUAAGGGAACUCAUGGUGUAGGGGUGAAAUCCGUUGAUAUCAUGGGGAACACCAAAUGCGAAGGCACUUAACUGGCAUACUCCUGACGCUGAAACACGAAAGCGUGGGCAUCGAAUGGG
RNAcentral lists this unclassified non-coding RNA (255 nucleotides) under uncultured Parcubacteria group bacterium. Its description in RNAcentral is "contains 16S-23S intergenic spacer region". It matches the Rfam family "Bacterial small subunit ribosomal RNA", at positions 524 to 776 of the family's 1533-position model. The record is from RNAcentral.